UAUUUUCAUAAUUUAUAGAGAAUAACACAUUGAAGAUGUGUAAGAAGUUAAUUAAACUUGAAAAUAU
Molecule: transfer RNA, 67 nt
Filed under: Shinkaia crosnieri
Lineage: Eukaryota; Metazoa; Arthropoda; Malacostraca; Decapoda; Munidopsidae
Description: tRNA-Phe
Source: RNAcentral